CGCUGGCGGCGUGCUUAUCACAUGCAAGUCGAACGGGAUCUGUCGGAGCUUGCUCCGUCCGUGAGAGUGGCGAACGGGUGAGUAAUGCGUGACCGACCUGCCCCAUACACCGGAAUAGCUCCUGGAAACGGGUGGUAAUGCCGGAUGCUCCGACAUGACGCAUGUCGUGUCGGGAAAGAUUCAUCGGUAUGGGAUGGGGUCGCGUCCUAUCAGGUAGUCGGCGGGGUAACGGCCCACCGAGCCUACGACGGGUAGCCGGCCUGAGAGGGCGACCGGCCACAUUGGGACUGAGAUACGGCCCAGACUCCUACGGGAGGCAGCAGUGGGGAAUAUUGCACAAUGGGCGCAAGCCUGAUGCAGCGACGCCGCGUGCGGGAUGACGGCCUUCGGGUUGUAANCCGCUUUGACUGGGAGCAAGCCCUUCGGGGUGAGUGUACCUUUCGAAUAAGCACCGGCUAACUACGUGCCAGCAGCCGCGG
This 479-nucleotide ribosomal RNA is filed under the name Bifidobacterium adolescentis. RNAcentral's name for it is "bacterial SSU rRNA". It matches the Rfam family "Bacterial small subunit ribosomal RNA", at positions 34 to 520 of the family's 1533-position model. The record is from RNAcentral. Lineage: Bacteria; Bacillati; Actinomycetota; Actinomycetes; Bifidobacteriales; Bifidobacteriaceae.